GACGAACGCUGGCGGCGUGCUUAACACAUGCAAGUCGAACGGAAAGGCCCUGCUUUUGUGGGGUGCUCGAGUGGCGAACGGGUGAGUAACACGUGAGUAACCUGCCCUUGACUUUGGGAUAACUUCAGGAAACUGGGGCUAAUACCGGAUAGGAGCUCCUGCUGCAUGGUGGGGGUUGGAAAGUUUCGGCGGUUGGGGAUGGACUCGCGGCUUAUCAGCUUGUUGGUGGGGUAGUGGCUUACCAAGGCUUUGACGGGUAGCCGGCCUGAGAGGGUGACCGGCCACAUUGGGACUGAGAUACGGCCUAGACUCCUACGGGAGGCAGCAGUGGGGAAUAUUGCACAAUGGGCGGAAGCCUGAUGCAGCAACGCCGCGUGCGGGAUGACGGCCUUCGGGUUGUAAACCGCUUUCGCCUGUGACGAAGCGUGGGUGACGGUAAUGGGUAAAGAAGCACCGGCUAACUACGUG
Molecule: ribosomal RNA, 468 nt
Filed under: uncultured bacterium
Lineage: Bacteria
Description: partial 16S ribosomal RNA
Rfam family: Bacterial small subunit ribosomal RNA
Source: RNAcentral